This 433-nucleotide ribosomal RNA is filed under the name uncultured bacterium. Its description in RNAcentral is "partial 16S ribosomal RNA". It matches the Rfam family "Bacterial small subunit ribosomal RNA", at positions 29 to 507 of the family's 1533-position model. The record is from RNAcentral.
AACGAACGCUGGCGGCAUGCCUAACACAUGCAAGUCGAACGAGACCUUCGGGUCUAGUGGCGCACGGGUGCGUAACGCGUGGGAACCUGCCCUUAGGUUCGGAAUAACUCCCCGAAAGGGGUGCUAAUACCGGAUAAUGUCUUCGGACCAAAGAUUUAUCGCCUUUGGAUGGGCCCGCGUUGGAUUAGCUAGUUGGUAGGGUAAAAGCCUACCAAGGCGACGAUCCAUAGCUGGUCUGUGAGGAUGAUCAGCCACACUGGGACUGAGACACGGCCCAGACUCCUACGGGAGGCAGCAGUGGGUAAUAUUGGACAAUGGGCGAAAUCCUGAUCCAGCAAUGCCGCGUGAGUGAUGAAGGCCUUAGGGUUGUAAAGCUCUUUUACCCGGGAUGAUAAUGACAGUACCGGGAGAAUAAGCUCCGGCUAACUCCGUG